RNAcentral lists this transfer RNA (77 nucleotides) under TM7 phylum sp. oral taxon 352. RNAcentral's name for it is "tRNA-Val". It matches the Rfam family "tRNA". Rfam says of the family: Transfer RNA (tRNA) molecules are approximately 80 nucleotides in length. Their secondary structure includes four short double-helical elements and three loops (D, anti-codon, and T loops). Lineage: Bacteria; Candidatus Saccharimonadota. The record is from RNAcentral. RNAcentral also lists the same sequence under 15 other names.
GGGAAAUUAGCUCAGUUGGCUAGAGCGCACGAUUCACAUUCGUGAGGUCACAGGUUCGAGCCCUGUAUUUCCCACCA